CGGGGAUUUCGCAGACUCCCCGCCCAAGACGCUGCAAGCGUCCAAGUUCUGC
RNAcentral lists this non-coding RNA (52 nucleotides) under unclassified sequences. RNAcentral describes it as "chromate-resist RNA". It matches the Rfam family "chrB-b RNA". The record is from RNAcentral.